This is a long non-coding RNA of Cotesia glomerata, 168 nucleotides long. RefSeq lists it as uncharacterized. NCBI's taxonomy places the organism in Eukaryota, Metazoa, Arthropoda, Insecta, Hymenoptera, Braconidae. The transcript has 3 exons. The record is from RefSeq and is a predicted model, not a curated record.
UUCCCUGGUUAAAAAUAUCGAUUGAAAAGGAUUAAAAAUGAUCAAAUUUGAAUACUUUUGAAUACUUUCAAUUCUUUUUCAUGUAUAUAUAGAUAUACAGUUUACAUGGGGUGACUGAUUCCCAAUACUUUUCAAUCAAUAUUUUUAAUCAGGGAUUGAUGAUAAAAU